Molecule: long non-coding RNA, 493 nt
Filed under: Homo sapiens (human)
Lineage: Eukaryota; Metazoa; Chordata; Mammalia; Primates; Hominidae
Description: non-protein coding lnc-EMC9-1:2
Source: RNAcentral
UUUUAGCUGGGUGUGGGACGAGGAGGUGUGGAGGAAGAAGUCCUCCUUGUCUUGUUUGUGACUUUCCCAAUGUGGAGAAUAUUAAGCUAAAAGCAUUACCUAGAAAAACUGGUUUGGGCUUCAACAACCUUGACCCUUUUCUCUGCUCAGUCCUUUGGGAUCCUAUUUCUUGGUGCUAAGAAGGGGUUCAUUCUCAAGUUAACCUAUUUCCUAUAAAAGGAAACCAGACUCAUGUCCCAGCCUCCCAUGGGACUGACUCAGCUUUGCCUCCCACAUUGCAGAUGGAUUACCGGGCCUUGGUGCAUGAGCGAGAUGAGGCAGCCUAUGGGGAGCUCAGGGCCAUGGUGCUGGACCUGAGGGCCUUCUAUGCUGAGCUUUAUCAUAUCAUCAGCAGCAACCUGGAGAAAAUUGUCAACCCAAAGGGUGAAGAAAAGCCAUCUAUGUACUGAACCCGGGACUAGAAGGAAAAUAAAUGAUCUAUAUGUUGUGUGGA